RNAcentral lists this long non-coding RNA (399 nucleotides) under Mus spicilegus (steppe mouse). RNAcentral describes it as "lncRNA (ENSMSIG00000008630.1)". Lineage: Eukaryota; Metazoa; Chordata; Mammalia; Rodentia; Muridae. The record is from RNAcentral.
CUGAAUGGAGCAGGGCUAUGUGCGGACGGGCUUGCACGGAUUAGCUUGCUUUCCCAUGAACUACAAAAGAAUGCUCGAAUCUGGGGCAUUUGUCAUCAAGGGGCAGGCUGCGCAGGAUGCAAGGGCACCCCAGAGUCUGGGAUUCUGAGCUGUGGUUAUAGCUAUUCGGGAGCAAGGCUGAGUCUUCUACUGAUAGGAAAAGAGGAAGAAGAGACUGCACCACUAUCUUGCAAGCUGCCGGCUGGUUCUUCUUCAUUGUCAAUGUCACUGGAUCUGAAGUCGUCUAGGAGACACACCUCUGGAUGUUUCCUUGGGAAAGUUUCCAGGGAGGUUUAACUGAGACAAGAAGAGCCACCCUGAAUGUGGGAGACGAAAUAAAAAGGGGAGUGGUGGGAGUCA